CGUAGGGCGCAAGCGUUGUCCGGAAUUAUUGGGCGUAAAGAGCUCGUAGGCGGUUUGUCGCGUCUGCUGUGAAAAGCCCGGGGCUUAAACCCCGGGUGUGCAGUGGGUACGGGCAGACUAGAGUGCAGUAGGGGAGACUGGAAUUCCUGGUGUAGCGGUGGAAUGCGCAGAUAUCAGGAGGAACACCGAUGGCGAAGGCAGGUCUCUGGGGCUGUUACUGACGCUGAGGAGCGAAAGCAUGGGAGCGAACAGGAUU
RNAcentral lists this ribosomal RNA (256 nucleotides) under uncultured bacterium. RNAcentral's name for it is "partial 16S ribosomal RNA". It matches the Rfam family "Bacterial small subunit ribosomal RNA", at positions 526 to 779 of the family's 1533-position model. The record is from RNAcentral.